Molecule: transfer RNA, 76 nt
Filed under: Aphanothece sp. CMT-3BRIN-NPC111
Lineage: Bacteria; Bacillati; Cyanobacteriota; Cyanophyceae; Chroococcales; Aphanothecaceae
Description: tRNA-Leu
Rfam family: tRNA
About the family: Transfer RNA (tRNA) molecules are approximately 80 nucleotides in length. Their secondary structure includes four short double-helical elements and three loops (D, anti-codon, and T loops).
Source: RNAcentral
GCCCCUGUGACGUAAUUGGAAACCGUCGCCGACUCAGACUCGGUGUUUUUUGCAGGUUCGACUCCUGUCAGGGGUA